Molecule: transfer RNA, 68 nt
Filed under: Echinococcus multilocularis
Lineage: Eukaryota; Metazoa; Platyhelminthes; Cestoda; Cyclophyllidea; Taeniidae
Description: tRNA-Glu
Source: RNAcentral
UCUGUUUUAGUAUAAUUGAUAUUAUGUUAGCUUUUCGUGCUUUAGAUGGUUGUUUUAACUGAACAGAU